This 1228-nucleotide ribosomal RNA is filed under the name human gut metagenome. Its description in RNAcentral is "bacterial SSU rRNA". It matches the Rfam family "Bacterial small subunit ribosomal RNA", at positions 173 to 1406 of the family's 1533-position model. The record is from RNAcentral.
UAGUACUUUUAUCCUGCAUGGGAUGUGAGUUAAAUGUUCAAGGUAUCGGAUGGGCAUGCGUCCUAUUAGUUAGUUGGCGGGGUAACAGCCCACCAAGACGAUGAUAGGUAGGGGUUCUGAGAGGAAGGUCCCCCACAUUGGAACUGAGACACGGUCCAAACUCCUACGGGAGGCAGCAGUGAGGAAUAUUGGUCAAUGGACGAGAGUCUGAACCAGCCAAGUCGCGUGAGGGAAGACUGCCCUAUGGGUUGUAAACCUCUUUUAUAAGGGAAGAAUAAGUUCUACGUGUAGAAUGAUGCCUGUACCUUAUGAAUAAGCAUCGGCUAACUCCGUGCCAGCAGCCGCGGUAAUACGGAGGAUGCGAGCGUUAUCCGGAUUUAUUGGGUUUAAAGGGUGCGUAGGCGGUUUAUUAAGUUAGUGGUUAAAUAUUUGAGCUAAACUCAAUUUGCCAUUAAUACUGGUAAACUGGAGUACAGACGAGGUAGGCGGAAUAAGUUAAGUAGCGGUGAAAUGCAUAGAUAUAACUUAGAACUCCGAUAGCGAAGGCAGCUUACCAGACUGUAACUGACGCUGAUGCACGAGAGCGUGGGUAGCGAACAGGAUUAGAUACCCUGGUAGUCCACGCCGUAAACGAUGGAUCACUGGUUCUGUGCGAUAUAUUGUACGGGAUUAAGCGAAAGUAUUAAGUGAGCCACCUGGGGAGUACGUCGGCAACGAUGAAACUCAAAGGAAUUGACGGGGGCCCGCACAAGCGGAGGAACAUGUGGUUUAAUUCGAUGAUACGCGAGGAACCUUACCCGGGUUUAAAUGGGAAAUGUCGUAUUUGGAAACAGAUAUUCUCUUCGGAGCGUUUUUCAAGGUGCUGCAUGGUUGUCGUCAGCUCGUGCCGUGAGGUGUCGGGUUAAGUCCCAUAACGAGCGCAACCCUUACCGUUAGUUGCUAGCAUGUAAUGAUGAGCACUCUAACGGGACUGCCACCGUAAGGUGAGAGGAAGGCGGGGAUGACGUCAAAUCAGCACGGCCCUUACACCCAGGGCUACACACGUGUUACAAUGGCCGGUACAGAGGGCCGCUACCAGGUGACUGGAUGCCAAUCUCAAAAGCCGGUCGUAGUUCGGAUUGGAGUCUGUAACCCGACUCCAUGAAGUUGGAUUCGCUAGUAAUCGCGCAUCAGCCAUGGCGCGGUGAAUACGUUCCCGGGCCUUGUACACACCGCCCGUCAAGCCAUG